UACGAAGGGGGCUAGCGUUGCUCGGAAUCACUGGGCGUAAAGGGUGCGUAGGCGGAUUUCUAAGUCAGGGGUGAAAUCCCGAGGCUCAACCUCGGAACUGCCUUUGAUACUGGGGAUCUUGAGUCCGGAAGAGGUGAGUGGAACUGCGAGUGUAGAGGUGAAAUUCGUAGAUAUUCGCAAGAACACCGGUGGCGAAGGCGGCUCACUGGUCCGGAACUGACGCUGAGGCACGACAGCGUGGGGGAGCAAACAGG
This 254-nucleotide ribosomal RNA is filed under the name uncultured bacterium. Its description in RNAcentral is "partial 16S ribosomal RNA". It matches the Rfam family "Bacterial small subunit ribosomal RNA", at positions 524 to 776 of the family's 1533-position model. The record is from RNAcentral.